GAUGAACGCUGGCGGCGUGCCUAAUACAUGCAAGUCGAGCGAACAGACGAGGAUCUUGCUCCUCUGACGUUAGCGGCGGACGGGUGAGUAACACGUGGAUAACCUACCUAUAAGACUGGGAUAACUUCGGGAAACCGGAGCUAAUACCGGAUAAUAUAUUGAACCGCAUGGUUCAAUAGUGAAAGACGGUUUUGCUGUCACUUAUAGAUGGAUCCGCGCCGCAUUAGCUAGUUGGUAAGGUAACGGCUUACCAAGGCGACGAUGGGUAGCCGACCUGAGAGAGUGAUCGGCCACACUGAAACUGAGAGACGGUCCAGACUCCUACGGGAGGCAGCAGGAGGGAAUCUUCCGCAAUGGGCGAAAGCCUGACGGAGCAACGCCGCGUGAGUGAUGAAGGUCUUCGGAUCGUAAAACUCUGUUAUUAGGGAAGAACAAAUGUGUAAGUAACUAUGCACGUCUUGACGGUACCUAAGCAGAAAGCCACGGCUAACUACGU
Molecule: ribosomal RNA, 496 nt
Filed under: uncultured bacterium
Lineage: Bacteria
Description: partial 16S ribosomal RNA
Rfam family: Bacterial small subunit ribosomal RNA
Source: RNAcentral